Non-coding RNA from Chiloscyllium plagiosum (whitespotted bambooshark), 597 nucleotides. Lineage: Eukaryota; Metazoa; Chordata; Chondrichthyes; Orectolobiformes; Hemiscylliidae. The record is from RefSeq and is a predicted model, not a curated record.
AAUCGAGUUACAGGGCGGUUUGACGGACACAGGCACCGUGCAAUAAAUGCUUCAGCUGAAGGGGAGGGCGGCAAUGAAUCGUGACUAAAAUGCCAACGAGGGAGGAGUUCUGUGUUCAGGUUGACUUCAUCCUGACUCCUUGCUGCCACUGUAUUCCACAGUUUAUCACGAAUUCCUGGUAUAAUCUGCAGUCUGAUGUGUAUAUGAAACUAUCUUUUCAACUCUUUAAAAUAUAAACAGAUUGUUGUCAAUAACCUAAAGCUGGAUAUUCAAGAUUACUGUGUAUGACCCUGAAUUUGGUUAUUUCCUUUGGUCGACCCUGACGAUAGUUCCUCCCGUGUUAAUGGAGGACGUGUGCAGAAGGAGCUCUGUAAAGUUUCACUUUUAAAGUCAAUUUACUUGUUCUGUAAACCUUUAGAAUAAUUUCCGUGCACUUCUACAGUGCUCACGGCUCUUCUGUUGAGUGGGGAGAAAGUUUGGUAUUGUGGCUUUUGAGCUCCACCCCGAUUUUGGGAAGCCCUUUAAUCAUUGGCGAGUGAUAUGUUUUAUUCAACUUGCAUUGUGAAACUAUUACAUUUUACUGUUGUCUUUUCAAAA